This 420-nucleotide ribosomal RNA is filed under the name Micromonospora sp. RNAcentral describes it as "bacterial SSU rRNA". It matches the Rfam family "Bacterial small subunit ribosomal RNA", at positions 109 to 544 of the family's 1533-position model. The record is from RNAcentral. Lineage: Bacteria; Bacillati; Actinomycetota; Actinomycetes; Micromonosporales; Micromonosporaceae.
AGUAACACGUGAGCAACCUGCCCUAGGCUUUGGGAUAACCCUCGGAAACGGGGGCUAAUACCGAAUAUGACCUUAUGCCGCAUGGUGUUUGGUGGAAAGUUUUUCGGCCUGGGAUGGGCUCGCGGCCUAUCAGCUUGUUGGUGGGGUGAUGGCCUACCAAGGCGACGACGGGUAGCCGGCCUGAGAGGGCGACCGGCCACACUGGGACUGAGACACGGCCCAGACUCCUACGGGAGGCAGCAGUGGGGAAUAUUGCACAAUGGGCGGAAGCCUGAUGCAGCGACGCCGCGUGAGGGAUGACGGCCUUCGGGUUGUAAACCUCUUUCAGCAGGGACGAAGCGUAAGUGACGGUACCUGCAGAAGAAGCACCGGCCAACUACGUGCCAGCAGCCGCGGUAAGACGUAGGGUGCGAGCGUUGU